Molecule: ribosomal RNA, 704 nt
Filed under: Salmonella enterica
Lineage: Bacteria; Pseudomonadati; Pseudomonadota; Gammaproteobacteria; Enterobacterales; Enterobacteriaceae
Also listed under: 2 other names
Description: partial 16S ribosomal RNA
Rfam family: Bacterial small subunit ribosomal RNA
Source: RNAcentral
AAAUUGAAGAGUUUGAUCAUGGCUCAGAUUGAACGCUGGCGGCAGGCCUAACACAUGCAAGUCGAACGGUAGCACAGAGAGCUUGCUCUCGGGUGACGAGUGGCGGACGGGUGAGUAAUGUCUGGGAAACUGCCCGAUGGAGGGGGAUAACUACUGGAAACGGUAGCUAAUACCGCAUAACGUCGCAAGACCAAAGUGGGGGACCUUCGGGCCUCACACCAUCGGAUGUGCCCAGAUGGGAUUAGCUAGUAGGUGGGGUAACGGCUCACCUAGGCGACGAUCCCUAGCUGGUCUGAGAGGAUGACCAGCCACACUGGAACUGAGACACGGUCCAGACUCCUACGGGAGGCAGCAGUGGGGAAUAUUGCACAAUGGGCGCAAGCCUGAUGCAGCCAUGCCGCGUGUAUGAAGAAGGCCUUCGGGUUGUAAAGUACUUUCAGCGAGGAGGAAGGCGUUGUGGUUAAUAACCACAGCGAUUGACGUUACUCGCAGAAGAAGCACCGGCUAACUCCGUGCCAGCAGCCGCGGUAAUACGGAGGGUGCAAGCGUUAAUCGGAAUUACUGGGCGUAAAGCGCACGCAGGCGGUUUGUUAAGUCAGAUGUGAAAUCCCCGGGCUCAACCUGGGAACUGCAUUUGAAACUGGCAAGCUUGAGUCUCGUAGAGGGGGGUAGAAUUCCAGGUGUAGCGGUGAAAUGCGUAGAGA